GACCGUUUUCGACUGCUUGGGCCGCUUGGGCGUUGGCACGUUAUUACUGCGUAAUACGAUAAUGACCCUGAGAUGUCGUUAUGUAAAGCUCCUUGUCCGGAAGAGGCGGUAACUAGUUGCCGAACGGUGAGAAUGUUUUAGUACACGUUCCGUCUUCACAAAACAGGACAAAGGACUAUGUAGUCUUAUUCAAGUGUAACUAUCAUGUAGAUACAUCAUUAAAUAAAGCGUGUGUGUGUUAUAGAGUUGUUGCUGAGUUCGCUUGACCGCCUUUGUUCAAGCCAAGGCCCACUUAACGGCCCUAGUGAUAGUCUCAUGCCUCAUGUUCCCCGGCUGGGGUGGCGCCCAAACAACUAUCAAGGAUCAAGGUGAGGCAACAUUAUUACCAACUUCUACAAAAUCGCUAGCAGGUGAUUCACCAGUGAGCAGUUGCGACCAUUUUUACCCUACGCAGAAGGCAGUUGCGGCCAGCUUUAAUCCAACGCGCGGCUCAGCGCACCACAAAAAGUUAACGGCGACAGGACAUUAUAUCCUGAACCCAUCAGGGAUUCUGAAAAUCGCACAGAUUGUGUCCAGCGUUGCAAGAAAGAUGGCUGAUUAAGGCAUACUAGAUCUUCCAGCUACCCAUGUAGUCGAACAAAAUGCCGAAGUGGGAGAAAAUACACACCACAAGGAACAUUAUAUCCUGACCCCAUCAGGGAUUCUGAAAAUCGCACAGAUUUUAAGUAACUCAUUUAUAGGUUUUCAUUAUUGUGAAGGAACAAAAUGAACUACUUUGAUUACACUUUCAUGGCAUAAGUGUUUAAUUAGUUAAGCACAGGGACAACUUUACCUUCUUUUACUUUGAUCUUUUGGUUCAGGUAUCAAAAGUGGCAAGGGAGAUGCCAGCCACAAGUGAAGAUCUAGAUCCCGAAGGGAGGAUAACUACCCCCUUCAGUAGUCUUUAUAUCAAGACCCUAUAUAGGGUCCUGAAUGGGCUACAGAUUGUACUGAAUAUCAUAGAGAUUGUGUCCAAGCGUUGCAAGAAAGAUGGCAGAUCAAGGCAUACUAGAUCUUCCAGCUAACAAUGUUGAACAAAACGCCGAAGUGGGGGAAAAUACCCACCACGAGGAACAUUAUAUCCUGACCCCAUCAGGGAUUCUGAAAAUGGCACAGGUUGUAACUCAUAUGAUCAUCUUGGGCACAACAGCCCAGUGUUGGGCCUUGGCCUCCCUUAUCAAGCCCCUCCAUUCCUCUGUAAGAAGUAAUUGCGCUGAGUUUCACAGGAAUCAGGGCUUUCGACAAGCACUUGCUAUCGUGCUGCGAAGAAAUCUAAGCUUCAUGCAUACCGAAUCUCCACGGUGCACGAGUUAAAAGAGCCAGAUUACGCGAAGAGAAUGGCGUAUUGUCAAUGGUUACAGACCCUUGUCCAGGAUAAUCUGGACAUUCUGGACUACACUUGGUUUUCGGACGAGGCAUGGUUCCAUCUUUCCGGAUACAUUAAUUCGCAAAAUUGUCGCAUUUGGGCAAGCAAGAAUCUCAAUGCGAUACACGAAGAACCCCCUUAUUCCAAGAAGAUUGGUGUUUGGUGUGGAAUUUCCUGGCGGCGCAUAAUUGGACCCAUCUUCUUCGACACGACAAUCACAACAGCAGCGUACCUAGAUAUCUUCCACUGCUUUGUGAAUCAACUGGACGAUGAGGAAUUAUCCAUCGGUUUUUCCAGCAGGAUGGAGCAACAGCACACACCUCGCGCACAAGCAUGGCCGAAAUCCAGUGUUUUUUUGGCGACCGUGUCAUUUCCAGGAGACUUUGGCCACCGCGCUCGCCCGAUCUAACGCCGCCUGAUUGUUUUUUGUGGGGACAUUUGAAAGCGUAAGUUUACACCAACAAACCGCGAACCAUAGAGGCUUUAAAAGCAAACAUAAGUGAGGCCAUCCAAGAAGUGACACCUGACGUACGGGCAAGGACUUUCCAAAACAUGGCGCGCCGAGUCCAGUGCUGUCUGGACGCAAAUGGUGGCCAUUUCUAGCACUUGUUAUGAUGUCACCAGACUUCACAUGAACUGAGGAUAAAGCUGAAGUUUCAGAAAAUUUACCCAGUGUCACAUCAUCUGAUAAAACUGAAGGAGACCUUAAAGCUGACUCAGAUGAAGAAGAGGAUGCCAAAGAGAAGGGGAAGUUGAAUCCCAAUUCUGGCAAUGGAUGUGACCUUCCAAACUGUAGGUGGACACAAACAUUAUCAGAGAUUGAGGAUGACACUCGAUGUGGCGUUAGUGCAAGAAAGAUGGCUGAUCAAGGCAUGCUUGUUCUGCCAGCUACCAUUGUAUUUGAACAAAGUGCCGAAGUUAGGGAAAAUACCCACCAUGAGGAACAUUAUAUCCUGACCCCAUGAGGGAUUCUGAAAAUCGCACAGAUUGUGUCAAGCGUUGCAAGAAAGAUGGUUGAUGAAGGUAUGCUUGAUCUGCCAGCUACCAAUGCAG
This is an RNA transcript of Cryptotermes secundus, 2458 nucleotides long. RefSeq lists it as uncharacterized. NCBI's taxonomy places the organism in Eukaryota, Metazoa, Arthropoda, Insecta, Blattodea, Kalotermitidae. The transcript has 6 exons. The record is from RefSeq and is a predicted model, not a curated record.